This 56-nucleotide transfer RNA is filed under the name Xenos cf. moutoni RZ-2020. RNAcentral describes it as "tRNA-Ser". Lineage: Eukaryota; Metazoa; Arthropoda; Insecta; Strepsiptera; Xenidae. RNAcentral also lists the same sequence under 1 other name. The record is from RNAcentral.
GAAAUAUUAAAUUAAGCUUCUAACUUAAAUAAAAACAAAAAUUUGUUUAUAUUUCU